Molecule: ribosomal RNA, 522 nt
Filed under: uncultured bacterium
Lineage: Bacteria
Description: bacterial SSU rRNA
Rfam family: Bacterial small subunit ribosomal RNA
Source: RNAcentral
CCAGAGAACUUUCCAGAGAUGGAUUGGUGCCUUCGGGAACUCUGAGACAGGUGCUGCAUGGCUGUCGUCAGCUCGUGUUGUGAAAUGUUGGGUUAAGUCCCGCAACGAGCGCAACCCUUUAUCCUUUGUUGCCAGCGGUUAGGCCGGGAACUCAAAGGAGACUGCCAGUGAUAAACUGGAGGAAGGUGGGGAUGACGUCAAGUCAUCAUGACCCUUACGAGUAGGGCUACACACGUGCUACAAUGGCGCAUACAAAGAGAAGCGACCUCGCGAGAGCAAGCGGACCUCAUAAAGUGCGUCGUAGUCCGGAUUGGAGUCUGCAACUCGACUCCAUGAAGUCGGAAUCGCUAGUAAUCGUGGAUCAGAAUGCCACGGUGAAUACGUUCCCGGGCCUUGUACACACCGCCCGUCACACCAUGGGAGUGGGUUGCAAAAGAAGUAGGUAGCUUAACCUUCGGGAGGGCGCUUACCACUUUGUGAUUCAUGACUGGGGUGAAGUCGUAACAAGGUAGGCGUAGUGCU